CGACUAGCCCGUGCUUCCUCUGUUGGUACCGUCAACCCACAUGGUAUUAACAUAUGGGCGUUUCUUUCCAACUGACAGAGCUUUACGAUCCGAAGACCUUCCUCACUCACGCGGCGUUGCUGCGUCAGGGUUGCCCCCAUUGCGCAAGAUUCCUCACUGCUGCCUCCCGUAGGAGUCUGGACCGUGUCUCAGUUCCAGUGUGGCUGAUCAUCCUCUCAGACCAGCUAACCAUCACAGCCUUGGUAGGCCAUUACCCUACCAACAAGCUAAUGGUACGCGGACUCAUCCAACAGCGAGGGCUUUCAAGAAGAGGCUCUCUUUGGCUGAUUGACCAAGGCCAGUCAGCAUCAUUCGGUAUUAGCACACCUUUCGGUGGGUUAUUUCCAACUGUAGGGCAGAUUAUCCACGUGUUACUCACCCGUGCGCCACUUUACUAAGGCCCCGAAGGACCCUUUCUCGUUCGACUUGCAUGUGUUAGGCACGCCGCCAGCGUUUGUUCUGAGCCAUGAUCAAACUCUAAUCGAAUUCCCGCGGCCGCCAUGGCGGCCGGGAGCAUGCGACGUCGGGCCCAAUUCGCCCUAUAGUGAGUCGUAUACA
Molecule: ribosomal RNA, 597 nt
Filed under: uncultured delta proteobacterium
Lineage: Bacteria; Deltaproteobacteria
Description: partial 16S ribosomal RNA
Source: RNAcentral